This 1716-nucleotide ribosomal RNA is filed under the name Salmonella enterica. RNAcentral's name for it is "bacterial LSU rRNA". It matches the Rfam family "Bacterial large subunit ribosomal RNA", at positions 1103 to 2802 of the family's 2925-position model. RNAcentral also lists the same sequence under 1 other name. Lineage: Bacteria; Pseudomonadati; Pseudomonadota; Gammaproteobacteria; Enterobacterales; Enterobacteriaceae. The record is from RNAcentral.
GGCUUAGAAGCAGCCAUCAUUUAAAGAAAGCGUAAUAGCUCACUGGUCGAGUCGGCCUGCGCGGAAGAUGUAACGGGGCUAAACCAUGCACCGAAGCUGCGGCAGCGACACUGUGUGUUGUUGGGUAGGGGAGCGUUCUGUAAGCCUGUGAAGGUGUGUCGUGAGGCAUGCUGGAGGUAUCAGAAGUGCGAAUGCUGACAUAAGUAACGAUAAAGCGGGUGAAAAGCCCGCUCGCCGGAAGACCAAGGGUUCCUGUCCAACGUUAAUCGGGGCAGGGUGAGUCGACCCCUAAGGCGAGGCCGAAAGGCGUAGUCGAUGGGAAACGGGUUAAUAUUCCCGUACUUGGUGUUACUGCGAAGGGGGGACGGAGAAGGCUAUGUUGGCCGGGCGACGGUUGUCCCGGUUUAAGCGUGUAGGUGUGUGUUCCAGGUAAAUCCGGUUCACUUUAACACUGAGGCGUGACGACGAGGCACUACGGUGCUGAAGCAACAAAUGCCCUGCUUCCAGGAAAAGCCUCUAAGCAUCAGGUAACAUCAAAUCGUACCCCAAACCGACACAGGUGGUCAGGUAGAGAAUACCAAGGCGCUUGAGAGAACUCGGGUGAAGGAACUAGGCAAAAUGGUGCCGUAACUUCGGGAGAAGGCACGCUGACACGUAGGUGAAGUGAUUUACUCAUGGAGCUGAAGUCAGUCGAAGAUACCAGCUGGCUGCAACUGUUUAUUAAAAACACAGCACUGUGCAAACACGAAAGUGGACGUAUACGGUGUGACGCCUGCCCGGUGCCGGAAGGUUAAUUGAUGGGGUCAGCGCAAGCGAAGCUCCUGAUCGAAGCCCCGGUAAACGGCGGCCGUAACUAUAACGGUCCUAAGGUAGCGAAAUUCCUUGUCGGGUAAGUUCCGACCUGCACGAAUGGCGUAAUGAUGGCCAGGCUGUCUCCACCCGAGACUCAGUGAAAUUGAACUCGCUGUGAAGAUGCAGUGUACCCGCGGCAAGACGGAAAGACCCCGUGAACCUUUACUAUAGCUUGACACUGAACAUUGAGCCUUGAUGUGUAGGAUAGGUGGGAGGCUUUGAAGUGUGGACGCCAGUCUGCAUGGAGCCGACCUUGAAAUACCACCCUUUAAUGUUUGAUGUUCUAACGUGGACCCGUUACCCGGGUUGCGGACAGUGUCUGGUGGGUAGUUUGACUGGGGCGGUCUCCUCCUAAAGAGUAACGGAGGAGCACGAAGGUUGGCUAAUCCUGGUCGGACAUCAGGAGGUUAGUGCAAUGGCAUAAGCCAGCUUGACUGCGAGCGUGACGGCGCGAGCAGGUGCGAAAGCAGGUCAUAGUGAUCCGGUGGUUCUGAAUGGAAGGGCCAUCGCUCAACGGAUAAAAGGUACUCCGGGGAUAACAGGCUGAUACCGCCCAAGAGUUCAUAUCGACGGCGGUGUUUGGCACCUCGAUGUCGGCUCAUCACAUCCUGGGGCUGAAGUAGGUCCCAAGGGUAUGGCUGUUCGCCAUUUAAAGUGGUACGCGAGCUGGGUUUAGAACGUCGUGAGACAGUUCGGUCCCUAUCUGCCGUGGGCGCUGGAGAACUGAGGGGGGCUGCUCCUAGUACGAGAGGACCGGAGUGGACGCAUCACUGGUGUUCGGGUUGUCAUGCCAAUGGCACUGCCCGGUAGCUAAAUGCGGAAGAGAUAAGUGCUGAAAGCAUCUAAGCACGAAACUUGCCCCGA